RNAcentral lists this ribosomal RNA (469 nucleotides) under uncultured bacterium. RNAcentral's name for it is "partial 16S ribosomal RNA". It matches the Rfam family "Bacterial small subunit ribosomal RNA", at positions 28 to 508 of the family's 1533-position model. The record is from RNAcentral.
GACGAACGCUGGCGGCGUGCUUAACACAUGCAAGUCGAACGGAAAGGCCCUGCUUUUGUGGGGUGCUCGAGUGGCGAACGGGUGAGUAACACGUGAGUAACCUGCCCUUGACUUUGGGAUAACUUCAGGAAACUGGGGCUAAUACCGGAUAGGAGCUCCUGCUGCAUGGUGGGGGUUGGAAAGUUUCGGCGGUUGGGGAUGGACUCGCGGCUUAUCAGCUUGUUGGUGGGGUAGUGGCUUACCAAGGCUUUGACGGGUAGCCGGCCUGGGAGGGUGACCGGGCAAAGUUGGGGUGGACAACGGCCCGAGCCUCCGGGGGGGGGGAGGAGGGGGAAAGUGGGAAAAGGGGGGGGAGGCCGUAGCCCACAACCCCGGGGGGGGGAGAGGGGCCUGGGGUUGUAAACCGCUUUGCACCGGGAAGGAGGGGGAGGGGAGGGAAGGGGGAAAAAAGCCCCGGCUAAACUAGGGC